GGAAAUUAAAAUUAGUUAAAAAAAUGUUUUACCUUGUUGUCCAAGCCCUGCAUAACUAUUAGUCCAAAUUGUUAAUGCAUAGAUGAACAUAUCCAAAAAUUAAACCUUAAAGCCCAAGCCAUAGACCUCAAUAUCAUAAGAACAGUUUGCAUAUUUUAAUUCCAAAAUAUUAUCUAUUAAAUGAUUCUCAUUAUCGACAGAAUGCGAAUGCUUUUCUAAUUCCAAUUUGAAUUUUAAAUAAGAAACCAGAGAGUUGUUGAGUGAAAUUUCAUAUCAUAGAUGACCUUUUUGACUCAGUUAUUCAAUUCAGGGACUUGUAUCAUGCAUUGCAUUGCAGUUUGGCAUCAGGCACUCCUACAUUUGUCACCAUAUGCUGAUAGACAUUUGAAACCAUUCCAUACUAAAUAUUCGUUAAAAAAAAGUGAGUUUUGAUUAUGAUUUUAUCAAGGUGUUUUUAUUUUUAUAUUUAUAUUUUAACUCAUUGUUACUUAUUGCAAUUGUUAUUAAAAGAUUUAUGUUUAAUUGUUUUAUUAUUUUGUAUUACUUAAAAUUAGACGUAUGAAUUGAGGGUAAAUAUCAUCUUGAGAAUCUUAAUAGCUUACUCUUUUAUAUCAACUUAAUAUAUUUAGAAAUAUUAUUCUUAAAGUGUUUGCUCAUAUUUUUAUUUACAUUAUGUUGUGCUGUAAUUAUGCUAUUUUAAAAUUUUUAAUUGUACAUAUUUAAAUUAAUUUUUGUAGUAUAAUUAUUUUGAAUUAAUCGAGAAAUAUGUUCUAACAUAGAAGGCAAACCUGUUGAAUAUAUACAAAGAAAUCACUCUUAGCUUGCAAAUCAAUUGGUUAAUGCGGUUUCAAUAGAGCUAAAUAAAAAAAUUGAGUUUCAAUAGAG
RNAcentral lists this unclassified non-coding RNA (885 nucleotides) under Hevea brasiliensis (rubber tree). The record is from RNAcentral. Lineage: Eukaryota; Viridiplantae; Streptophyta; Magnoliopsida; Malpighiales; Euphorbiaceae.